This is an RNA transcript of Carassius gibelio (silver crucian carp), 2910 nucleotides long. It is a transcript of the gene named histone deacetylase 8, with no coding region annotated. The record is from RefSeq and is a predicted model, not a curated record. The transcript is spliced from 7 exons. NCBI's taxonomy places the organism in Eukaryota, Metazoa, Chordata, Actinopteri, Cypriniformes, Cyprinidae.
ACAAAAUAACAGCUGCAGAAAUGUACUUAGUUCAGGGAUAUGUGUAACGUUAUAUACAUCCAUUACAAUGAAACGAAAUAUUAUAUAGACUUGCCUUUUUUAUUUUCAUUUUAACAUAUAGAUAAAUUGAAUACAGACCAAAGAAAACCUGUUAGAUUUACCCCGCAGCUGAAUUAUAUGUUAUGUUUAACCACUAAAGACACAUCAGAGCCAGCGGCACAUAUCAGAAGGUCUAUCCAAGGUGAGGCUGCCUCUGGGCGGAUAGAUGAUCACUGAGCUCUCCCUGAUCGUGUGGAGCUCACCGUCUCAGAGAUCGGCGAAACACAUUUUUAAAUAGGCGCUGUCUUUAUAAAUAAACAACAGAUUUGAGUUUUAAACAACUACAUUCUCGCCUGAAAUACUUUUAAAAUUACAUUUCAUGACACAAUAACAGUAAUAUUUGAAAAUGAUCCAAAUAAAUGGUGGUUGAACUCAACCAAUGCUGCGUGAACUCAGAUGGCUUUGGCUACUGUUAUUUUCCCCUCAGUAUAUUUACAAUAAAACGAAAUAGGAUAUAAAAUACCACUGCCUCCUUUCGUUUUCAUUUAAACAUAAUAACAGCUGCAGAAAUGUACUUAGUUCAGGGAUAUGUGUAACGUUAUAUACAUCCAUUACAAUGAAACGAAAUAUUAUAUAGACUUGCCUUUUUUAUUUUCAUUUUAACAUAUAGAUAAAUUGAAUACAGACCAAAGAAAACCUGUUAGAUUUACCCCGCAGCUGAAUUAUAUGUUAUGUUUAACCACUAAAGACACAUCAGAGCCAGCGGCACAUAUCAGAAGGUCUAUCCAAGGUGAGGCUGCCUCUGGGCGGAUAGAUGAUCACUGAGCUCUCCCUGAUCGUGUGGAGCUCACCGUCUCAGAGAUCGGCGAAACACAUUUUUAAAUAGGCGCUGUCUUUAUAAAUAAACAACAGAUUUGAGUUUUAAACAACUACAUUCUCGCCUGAAAUACUUUUAAAAUUACAUUUCAUGACACAAUAACAGUAAUAUUUUGAAAAUGUUGAUCCGAAUAAAUGGUGGUUGAACUCAACCAAUGCUGCGUCAACUCAACCAAUCAGCAUGUUUAGCGCCAAAGUCCCGCCCCCGAAAGUUCCUGAACUUUAAAAAAGUACUACCUCGCCAGCAGGGACUUUCUGGGGGGCAUUUUUUUACCCGGAACUUUUAUUUAGUUCCUGGUUCCUGCGGUGGAAACACACCAAGUACCGGACCAAGUCCCUAGUUCCUGGGUAAAGUUCCUGCGGUGGAAACGCGGCUUAAGUUAACAACACAGAGAUAUUAGAAGCAGUUUUACUCACAGCAUGUGGUUCCAACACACAAUCGUGACCCUUUUCCGUUGGGACUGCAUUAUCCUUAAGAAAUAAACGAUGUGCAAUCCGAAAUGCAGGGAACAAACAAAAACACUUGCACAACUCCGUUGAUGCUCUGUAAAAAUAAACUCCAUCCACUGGUCCCUUAAUGCUGUUUCUCUUUUGGUAAUCUGUACAGGGUUGUCUUGCCCUGGCAACCAAAAACACACUUCUUUUGUGACUUUUCGCGACGCUCUCGCUCUGAUCAGGCUGUGCUCAGAGCCAUAUAGAGCCAUCUCUCUAUAUGGCUCUGGCUGUGCUCAGCCUCUCAGUGACAUGUUCUGCUAUAUGGGAGCGCAGAAGAGCGCGCACUUAGGACCCAUAUAAGGAAAUUCCGCUCCAUCUAACGUCACACAGAGCCAUACUCGAAAAAAACUUUCCGAAACUUGUGACAAACCGGAAGAGGUUUUUUUGGAACAAAAAUACUCCUUUAAACAUACAACUUAAUUUUUGAAAUUUUGUCCAUGUUUAGCAUGGGAAUCCAACUCUUUAACAGUGUAAAAAACUCAGUAUGCAUGAAAUAGCAUUUCACCCCCCCUUUAAGGAAGCCAAUAUUGUAUGUUAACUUUUAUUUAUUUUUCUUACAAUAUCACAACUGAUUGCAAAUAAAAAUUAAAUUUAAAUAAAAUAAUUUUACUUAUUGAAUUACCCAGACUUUUGUGGAUUUUUCUAUCAGAAAAGAGCAAAGCCAAUACAGCAAACAUUAUUACAGUAUCUUGAUGAGAGCAGAGGUUCUCGUUUAAAAUCCGGACUUUUAUUUUGAAAUAACGGACGUUUGUUGUGGCGUUCAUCGUCGGAACACCCAGAGCUCACCAACAUCUCUAUCGGUUUAUGAGGUGCUUUGAUUUUAAUAAUUUGAUUUUAAAUGAGUGAUACAAGCGAGACUAAUGAUGAUAAAAGCAGAAAUCGCAGCGUGGUGUAUGUGUACAGUCCGGAGUACAUCCAGACAUGCGACUCGCUGUCUAAAGUGCCAAACCGGGCGAGUAUGGUGCAUUCAUUGAUCGAGGCGUAUGGUUUAUUGAAAUACAUGAGGGUGGUGAAGCCACAUGUGGCUUCAAUAGAGGAGAUGGCCGUUUUUCACACAGACUCUUACCUGCAGCACUUGCACAAGAUCAGCCAGGAUGGGGACAAUGAUGAUCCUCAGUCUGUUGACUUUGGGCUGGGUUAUGACUGUCCGGUGGUGGAAGGUAUUUUUGAUUACGCCGCUGCCGUUGGAGGAGCCACUCUGACUGCUGCCCAGAAUCUGCUGGAUGGAAAGUGUGAUGUGGCCAUCAACUGGGCCGGAGGGUGGCAUCACGCCAAGAAGUAAUUCGGCACAACCGGCCUUGUGCCCAACCUCUAGUGUUUCACAUCCACAUCAAUCCUUGAGAUGCCAGUGGCGUCUUUAACAUAAGGACGAGGCAUCUGGGUUCUGUUAUGUGAAUGACGCUGUUCUUGGAAUCCUAAAACUGCGCCAGAAGUAUGAGAGAGUUCUCUAUGUGGAUGUGGACCUUCACCAUGGAGAUGGUGUGGAGGACGCUUUCAGCU